This 727-nucleotide ribosomal RNA is filed under the name Versteria mustelae. RNAcentral's name for it is "small subunit ribosomal RNA". Lineage: Eukaryota; Metazoa; Platyhelminthes; Cestoda; Cyclophyllidea; Taeniidae. The record is from RNAcentral.
AUUUGUUUAACUAUGGCAAAAAGAAGUUUAUGUGGCAUUAAUUGCAUGAAAUAUUUGUAUUUUGUUGUUAAUUUAUAAUUGAUUUUUUUAUUCAGCAAUUAGUUUUUUGUUAAAAUUUAUGUUUUAUAAGAUUGUCAUAUAUUAUGGGGAUAGGACACAGUGCCAGCAUCUGCGGUUAGUCUGUUUUCUUUGCUUUUUAAUAGAUUGUGGUUAGUUAUUUAUAAAUGAAAUUAGGUUAAAUUUUUUCAUUUUAAUUUUUGAUAAUUAGUUAUUGAGUAAGUUUGUUUUGUGACAGGGAUUAGAUACCCCAUUAACAGAAUUGUUAUAUUUAUCUUAGUUUUAUAACUAAAAUAGUUUGGCAGUGAGUGAUUCUUAUUAGGGGAAGGUGUGUUGUAAUGGAUGUUCCGCCAAAUAAUUUACUUCUAUUAUGUUGGUGUAUAUCUGGUUUGAUAUUACUGUUUAAUAAUAUAAUUUGUGUAUAAUUUGUUAAGCCAAGUCAAUGUGCUGCUUAUAGGAGUGUUCAUGCGUUACAUUUAUAAUCUAUUCAUUGUAAGUUUGAAUAAAUUUAGGACUUAAUAGUAAUGUUUAAUUAAUUUGUUGAUGUGAAAUAAGUUUAACUCAGGUACACACCGCCCGUCACCCUCGAUAUUUUGUUGAGGUAAGUCGUAACAAGGUAACUUUAAAUGAAUUUGAAGUUAAUUAUUAUAUUGGUUAGUAUAUAAUUUUA